Molecule: long non-coding RNA, 4189 nt
Organism: Canis lupus familiaris (dog)
Lineage: Eukaryota; Metazoa; Chordata; Mammalia; Carnivora; Canidae
Exons: 2
Source: RefSeq, a predicted model, not a curated record
AAUGCAGAAAUGGAGAAGAGAAGGACAGGCCUGGAUUAGAAUCCCAACCCCAUCACUCACUUCUGGCUGGACCUGGGGGGAUUUACUUCACUCUCUAAACUUCAUUUUUCUUGUUAGUGAAAUUGGGAUCCUACCCCUUGGAGGUUUGAGGUUUAACUGUAACAUACGUAAAGGACCUUGCACAAUACCUGCCAUAUACAGCAGGUGUUCAAGAAAUACUAUCAUUAUUUACUCUCUUUUGGUCAUGUAUUAGCUACCUGGUACAGUAACUGGCUCCCCACUAUAAAGCAACUGAAAUUCAGAAUCCUAACCACAAAAUGUGGCUGCUAUAAAGGAGCAGAGCUUUGUUUGGAGUCUGAAGCUCUGAUUUCUUCCUCAGAGGUUACUGCUGCUCUUUGCUGAAAAACUAAAAGAAUAAUGAAAAAGUGACAAAAGUUCCCAUUAUCAGCAUUUACUAGUAUCUUGAAGGAAAUGGCCAAGACUAACAGCACAGCCUCUCCUUACAGGCCCUACCAUUCAAUAGAGGCACAGUUCUCCCAGUCGCUUGUUCUAAGCUUGUGAAGGAAAUCGGACUCCUGAUUCUACAGGCUGAAGAAAGGAAGGCAAAGCACUUUGAGAGAAUGAUGACAGGUCUGAGUGACAGUCCGUUCCAGGCCCACCUCUGCCCAAUGCAGCUUUCACUGGACCAGAGUAGCCUGGAAAACAGCCUUGCUUGUGGAAACCCUGAGCCCAGGGUCAUUUUCUUACCUGAGUCUAGGCUGAAAGCUAAGGCACGGUGAUGAUAAAAUACAAAAGGGCACAGAAAAAGACUUGAGGAGGGCCUCACUGCCAAAUGGUUCCUUGGGCCAGAUUCCCAGCAGCCUUUAGGAUUAUACAUAACAUAUCGUGUUAUGUAUAAAGCCAUCGUGUUCCCAGCAAGAAACGUAUUUAUAGCCAUUCCAUCCUACACCCUUGCCUCCAAUUCUUAGGCCCAAAACUAGUCUCUGCAUCCAUCUGUUCAACAAUAGAAGUUUCACAAGUAGCAACUACUCACAUUUCUACAACCUUAUCCAAAGUUGUGCCUAUUGGAAUGACAUUUGGAUACACAUUCACAGGACAGAUGUAGUUCAAGAAAUCUUUAAUCUAGAAGGAAAAUAAAAUAGGUCAAUUAUCUCUAUGCUGAAAAAUCUGGGUGUCAGAGAAGCAACAAAUGAGGCCAGGAGAAAGAGCAGCAGGAAUUUCUUGUGUGGUCCUCAAUGCUAGCUGCACAUGGGGACCACCUGGGGGCCUCCCAGGAAAAAUGAAUCAACAUUCAGGCCCACCCCCAAAAUCCUUUUGUUACUGAGUUACAGUGGGGCCUGGAAAUCUGAAUAUUUAAGUGUUCUUCAGGUGAUUCUGUUCCACAGUAAGGACUAGGAAUCAUGGAUUCAUGGACUUCUUCCAGGAUGCUUGAUUUGUUCUAACAGUUUAUUCUAACCUAGAGGAAAACUGAAGGCAAAAAUUUCAUGAAUACCUUGAUUUUCUGCAAAGUUCUGAAUGCUAUAAAAGAGGAACUCUGUCAAUAUUCCUCAAAACAUCUCUACAAUCCAGACAAGUUUCAGUUUUGUCACUUGUUAGAUCUUGGUGAACAUGUGAUCUUGGUCAGGUUACCUGGAGUCUGCAUUCGAUUCUUCAGCUAAAAGUCUUAAUGAGAUAAUGCAUGUGAAGAGUUUGGCCUGGCAUAUGUUUAACAUUCAGUGAAAUUAUCCAUCACACACAUGAUAAUGACAACACACAAAGGUUUUUAUUCCCUUCUGCAAGUGGGGAAACUGAGAUCUGAGUAAUUAUUAGAACCCAACUUUACCAAAUCAAAAAAAGUAGGAACCCAGGAAUUAUCAAUAACUCCAUAUUAAAAUAAAGUGGCUACCUUAUUUAAAACAGGAGAAAAAGCAAGACGACCCAUUCAUUCUUCAGGUAUUUUCCAUAAACUCUUUUUUUUUUUACUUUCAGAGCAGAAACUAUUACUUACCUGGCCACAACCUAUAUGAUUUGCAUAAUUUGUUCUGAGGCUUUUCAAGGGAAGAGGGAUAAAGAAAGUAAGGUUUACCUAUACCAGAAAUCAUUCACUUUUACUUAGAAAUGAAGUGGCCACAGGAGGCAAGAGACACCCACUAGAGAGGCACCCUCUGUCCCUUGUACAAGCUGAUGUCCUUGCAUCAGAUGUCUGCCUUAAGACCAUUCACGAAGACCGUCUAUUCUUAUCCUCGUUAUGUUCAUUGAAGUCACUGGGCACGGUGAGUCGGCAAACACUGAACCAGGGCUCCUACCAGGAAGACCAGGUUCCUGUGAACCUCUGGUCACUGUUUCUGUCAGCCUACCAACGCAUCACCUUGUUUUCUUUUUUUUUUUUUUUUUUUUUUAUCACCUUGUUUUCUAUGCGCUUCUGACACCUAUUCCACGUGCACUGUUGACUCAUUACCACUGAAUUCACGGCCAACAGCACCAUAACUCCUGCCUGAACAAAGCUUAUCAAACACAUGUAUUUCUUCCAUGAGGGCACAGCCCAGCCUCUGUGCUUAGGAACAUGCACAGCUCCCCAGCACUGCACCUGGGGGCCGUUUUAAACAGUGAAACCCCCAACAAAAAGCACAGAAAUGUGUAAAUGCAGCACUGACCUGCCUGCAAAAGGACACCUGUUUACCCUGGAGCUCAGUGGCGAGGGCAGAGCACCACCCUGUUCAGCCUCAGCCGGGAAUAUGCGUGUCUGCUGACUCCCUGGGCCUGACUGCAAACAACCUUGCAGCGCUGCAACUAUUAAUUUGGGGGGUCAUAAAUUUUGAUGAGCAAGCAGACUUUUGUAAAUAAGGAAUCCAUGAGUAAGGAGGAUCAGCUGUAGUCAGAAAAACUGACAGGAAAUGAUACUUAAGCCUCCUAUUUAUGGGAGGCACCUGGGUGGCUCAGUUGGUUGAGCGGCUCACUUGGUUUCAGCUCAGGUCAUGGUCUCAGGGUCAUGAAGUUGAGCUCUACACUCGAGAUUCUCUCUGCCUCUCCCUCCCAUUCGAGUAUAUGCUCUAAAAUAAUUUUUGAAAAAUCUACUACUUAUGUUUUUAAAUAUAUUUCAACGUGAUCUAUACUUAGGAUAGGCCUAUUAGAGUUUUCAGGAAAGCCUGUCUCCUCACCACCCUGAGAGAUGACCAAGUGGAGCUCAUGGUGACUCUCCAUGUGUGCGAUCAAUAGUGCUAAUCCAGAGGGAGUGUGGGGGAUGAUGGCAGGGCAGGGGGGUCAUCUGUUUCAUCUCUCUGCUCAAGCACCAAAAAGACCUCCUAAGGGGUAACUGCAUAAAAUCCCAGGAAGGCUUAUGCUUUCCAACCCGGCUGCUAACUACACUGAAGGAGGGAAACAGGCCAGAUGUAGUCCUAAGUGAAAAAGUAAGGCCAAACCCAUUCCCUCAUUAGAUGCCUUCCCAGGUGGCUGAGACAGAAAGAAUCCCCAGCCCUAAGGGAUCAAAGGAAGGGGCCUUGAUCCUGAGCCAGAUACCAAACAGAAGACAAAUCCCCAGGAGGGGGCUUUGACAACAAUCUGAGAUUUCAGGAUAAAAUGAGGAAAACACAUUAGCUCAAUUAUGCCAUCACAAUGAAUCCCUUCCAAGCUGCUCUCAGAUAACCGAUUUGUACCUGAAAGUUAAGGUCAGUUAUUUAAUAGUAUUUAAAUACUAUUUAAAUAGUAUUUAAAUACACUGUGGUAUUUCGAUAAUAUGAUGAAGAGUCAUUUACAACACUACGGCUGACUUGCGCUCUGAAGAAUCCAAUUGUUCGAAUCAUUAACACGCCCACGGCUCACGGCUCACUGCUGCAGUGCCGCAUCCGUGUAUCCCAAAUACAAAAAUGAUAGUUACCCGGGAAAUCAAUGUUUAAGUGCAGAAAUGGUCAAACUAAAAGUGUCAUACAAAGUCUGAUUUUAUGCACCUUUUUCUCCUAAUAUGUACAUGAGAUUACUAAAACUCAGCACUUAUGAGAUGCUGGCAUUUACUCUGGAAAUGCAUGAGGAGUUUGCAAAUAAAGUACACAUACCAAGUUCCCACUCUAGCAGGUCAAUUUCCUACAUGAAAAGGAUCCUGACAAUGCAAAACUGAUAACUACUGAGCUCUACAUCUGAAGCUAAUAACGAAGCUAAUAAUGUUUUAUCUAUAUGUUGACUAAUUAAAAAAAAAAAAGAAAAGUAAAAAGAAUCC